This 253-nucleotide ribosomal RNA is filed under the name uncultured bacterium. RNAcentral's name for it is "partial 16S ribosomal RNA". It matches the Rfam family "Bacterial small subunit ribosomal RNA", at positions 524 to 776 of the family's 1533-position model. The record is from RNAcentral.
UACGGAGGGUGCAAGCGUUAAUCGGAAUUACUGGGCGUAAAGCGUGCGUAGGUGGUUUGUUAAGUCCGUUGUGAAAACCCCGAGCUCAACUUGGGAAUUGCAGUGGAUACUGGCAAGCUGGAGUGCGGUAGAGGAAGGUGGAAUUCCCGGUGUAGCGGUGAAAUGCGCAGAUAUCAGGAGGAACACCGAUGGCGAAGGCAGGUCUCUGGGCCGCUACUGACGCUGAGAAGCGAAAGCAUGGGGAGCGAACAGG